AUCACCUAGGGAUCCUGUUAAAAUGCAGAUUCUAGUCCUGGAGGUCCAGGAUGUGACCCCAGAUUCUGCAUUUCUAGCAAGCUCCCAGGGGAUGCUAA
This 98-nucleotide microRNA precursor is filed under the name Equus asinus (donkey). RNAcentral's name for it is "mir-544 microRNA precursor family". It matches the Rfam family "mir-544 microRNA precursor family". The record is from Rfam by way of RNAcentral. Lineage: Eukaryota; Metazoa; Chordata; Mammalia; Perissodactyla; Equidae. RNAcentral also lists the same sequence under 1 other name.